CAAGAGCGUAUGUAAAAGUUGUUGCAGUUAAAAAGCUCGUAGUUGAACCUUGGGUUUGGUUGGCCGGUCCGCUUUUUUGCGAGUACUGGAUUCAACCGAGCCUUUCCUUCUGGCUAACCAGUCGUUUCGGCGGCUGGCGAACCAGGAUUUUUACUUUGAGAAAAUUAGAGUGUUCAAAGCAGGCAUUAGCUUGAAUAUAUUAGCAUGGAAUAAUAGAAUAGGACGUUAUGGUUCUAUUUUGUUGGUUUCUAGGACCAUCGUAAUGAUUAAUAGGGACGGUCGGGGGCAUCAGUAUUCAGUUGUCAGAGGUGAAAUUCUUGGAUUUACUGAAGACUAACUACUGCGAAGGCAUUUGCCAAGGACGUUUUCAUUAA
RNAcentral lists this ribosomal RNA (374 nucleotides) under uncultured eukaryote. RNAcentral describes it as "partial 18S ribosomal RNA". It matches the Rfam family "Eukaryotic small subunit ribosomal RNA", at positions 592 to 976 of the family's 1831-position model. The record is from RNAcentral.